This 67-nucleotide transfer RNA is filed under the name Tupaia minor. Its description in RNAcentral is "tRNA-Val". It matches the Rfam family "tRNA". From Rfam's summary of the family: Transfer RNA (tRNA) molecules are approximately 80 nucleotides in length. Their secondary structure includes four short double-helical elements and three loops (D, anti-codon, and T loops). Lineage: Eukaryota; Metazoa; Chordata; Mammalia; Scandentia; Tupaiidae. The record is from RNAcentral.
CAAAAUGUAGCUUAACCUAAAAGCGUCUGGCUUACACCCAGAAAAUAUCGCUCGACGAUCGUUUUGA